UACGUAGGGGGCAAGCGUUGUCCGGAAUCAUUGGGCGUAAAGAGCGUGUAGGCGGCUUGGUAAGUCCGCUGUGAAAGUCCAGGGCUCAACCCUGGAAUGCCGGUGGAAACUGUCAAGCUUGAGUCCGGAAGAGGCGAGUGGAAUUCCUGGUGUAGCGGUGAAAUGCGCAGAUAUCAGGAGGAACACCAAUGGCGAAGGCAGCUCGCUGGGACGGUACUGACGCUGAGGAGCGAAAGCGUGGGGAGCGAACAGG
RNAcentral lists this ribosomal RNA (253 nucleotides) under uncultured bacterium. Its description in RNAcentral is "partial 16S ribosomal RNA". It matches the Rfam family "Bacterial small subunit ribosomal RNA", at positions 524 to 776 of the family's 1533-position model. The record is from RNAcentral.